This 405-nucleotide ribosomal RNA is filed under the name Triticum aestivum (bread wheat). Its description in RNAcentral is "partial small subunit ribosomal RNA". Lineage: Eukaryota; Viridiplantae; Streptophyta; Magnoliopsida; Poales; Poaceae. The record is from RNAcentral.
AUGGCGCGCGUCCGCGUCGGCCGUCGGAGUCGAGUAGGACGUCUCGCCGGCUCCCUCCAACUCCAGUGUUGCUUUCCUGCCCUGCGCGGGAGGUGUUCGCCUGUGUGGUGGACUGGUGGGUGCAAGGUUGGGGUGGCCAGAUCAGCACCAUGGUGCCUCUGCCUGCCGUCGUCACUAAUGGACGCCGUGGAGGGGAGCCGCUACCACUGGAGGCAGCCGCUCAAGGCGCCGUCCAUCUUCCGCCACCAGGCGGAGGUCCGCCUGCAUCCGACUCUCCUCGCCGGCACAGUCGCGUUGGUGGGGCAACGAUGGUGGCGGCAGAGCUUGCGUCCGAGCUACACGCAGAGAAACAGAGGGGAGGUGGGGCGCUCCUCGUUCCUGCGCUGCACACUGGAUUCGUCCUGA